CGGACGGGUGAGUAAUGUCUGGGAAACUGCCCGAUGGAGGGGGAUAACUACUGGAAACGGUAGCUAAUACCGCAUAACGUCGCAAGACCAAAGAGGGGGACCUUCGGGCCUCGCGCCAUCAGAUGAACCCAUAUGGGAUUAGCUAGUAGGUGGGGUAAUGGCUCACCUAGGCGACGAUCCCUAGCUGGUCUGAGAGGAUGGGCAGCCACACUGGAACUGAGACACGGCCCAG
RNAcentral lists this ribosomal RNA (232 nucleotides) under uncultured bacterium. Its description in RNAcentral is "partial 16S ribosomal RNA". It matches the Rfam family "Bacterial small subunit ribosomal RNA", at positions 99 to 334 of the family's 1533-position model. The record is from RNAcentral.